GGCUCACCAAGGCAACGAUGCGUAGCCGACCUGAGAGGGUGAUCGGCCACACUGGGACUGAGACACGGCCCAGACUCCUACGGGAGGCAGCAGUAGGGAAUCUUCCGCAAUGGACGAAAGUCUGACGGAGCAACGCCGCGUGAGUGAUGAAGGUUUUCGGAUCGUAAAGCUCUGUUGUUAGGGAAGAACAAGUGCCGUUCAAAUAGGGCGGCACCUUGACGGUACCUAACCAGAAAGCCACGGCUAACUACGUGCCAGCAGCCGCGGUAAUACGUAGGUGGCAAGCGUUGUCCGGAAUUAUUGGGCGUAAAGGGCUCGCAGGCGGUUUCUUAAGUCUGAUGUGAAAGCCCCCGGCUCAACCGGGGAGGGUCAUUGGAAACUGGGGAACUUGAGUGCAGAAGAGGAGAGUGGAAUUCCACGUGUAGCGGUGAAAUGCGUAGAGAUGUGGAGGAACACCAGUGGCGAAGGCGACUCUCUGGUCUGUAACUGACGCUGAGGAGCGAAAGCGUGGGGAGCGAACAGGAUUAGAUACCCUGGUAGUCCACGCCGUAAACGAUGAGUGCUAAGUGUUAGGGGGUUUCCGCCCCUUAGUGCUGCAGCUAACGCAU
RNAcentral lists this ribosomal RNA (608 nucleotides) under Bacillus sp. LMR330. RNAcentral describes it as "bacterial SSU rRNA". It matches the Rfam family "Bacterial small subunit ribosomal RNA", at positions 262 to 860 of the family's 1533-position model. Lineage: Bacteria; Bacillati; Bacillota; Bacilli; Caryophanales; Bacillaceae. The record is from RNAcentral.